Molecule: ribosomal RNA, 375 nt
Filed under: uncultured organism
Description: partial 16S ribosomal RNA
Rfam family: Bacterial small subunit ribosomal RNA
Source: RNAcentral
GGGAGGGGCGCAAGCGUUGUUCGGAAUCAUUGGGCGUAAAGCGCGUGUAGGCGGCUUGGGCAAGUCGGGGUGUGAAAGCCCGGGGCUCAACCCCGGAAUUGCACUCGAUACUGCCUCGCUAGAGUCCCGGAGAGGGUGGCGGAAUUCCCGGUGUAGAGGUGAAAUUCGUAGAUAUCGGGAGGAACACCAGCGGCGAAGGCGGCCACCUGGACGGUGACUGACGCUGAGACGCGAAAGCGUGGGGAGCAAACAGGAUUAGAUACCCUGGUAGUCCACGCCGUAAACGUUGGGUGCUAGGCGCUGCGGGUAUUGACCCCUGCAGUGCCGACGUUAACGCAUUAAGCACCCCGCCUGGGGAGUACGGUCGCAAGAUUA